AGUAAAUAAUAGCUGGAGUCAAUUAAAUAAAUACAAAACACAUAUAAACUAUUAAGUGAUUUAUUUUCUUAACACUGAGAAUACACAUUUCAUUUGAGGAAUAACUUAUGGCUUAACACUAGGCUAAAAUACUUCAAUACAAUAAUAAAUACUUAUAAAUAUUUGCACUUAAUCACAACUUUAAGUAAUUAGGUAUAUCGCUUACCCAUUGCAUUGAAAUAAAAGUUAACUACCUACAGUAUUAUUAUUAAAUAUUUACUUUAGUAAGUUAAGUAAGGCCCAUUGUAAUUGUCACUGACAACAUAAAAGUCAGUUUUCUGAAAAUCAUUGUUUACUGUUGAUUGAAAAUGACAAGUCAACAAACAGCUGAGAUUCCAUUUUUAAGUCGGUUAAAAUUACAAAAAUAAAUAGCAG
This is a long non-coding RNA of Helicoverpa armigera (cotton bollworm), 414 nucleotides long. RefSeq lists it as uncharacterized. The transcript is spliced from 2 exons. The record is from RefSeq and is a predicted model, not a curated record. Lineage: Eukaryota; Metazoa; Arthropoda; Insecta; Lepidoptera; Noctuidae.